Long non-coding RNA from Oncorhynchus tshawytscha (Chinook salmon), 1526 nucleotides. NCBI's taxonomy places the organism in Eukaryota, Metazoa, Chordata, Actinopteri, Salmoniformes, Salmonidae. The record is from Ensembl.
CCCCUCCCCUGUGUUUGUAGAUUAGAGGUCCAUGGUGGAUGGACCAGACCGGCUGCCAUUUUGGUCUUCUGUGGACCCUUGAUGGACUGGAUGUUAGAGUCACCUGCUCCGGAAGUUCUGCAGUUGUUUCAUGCCGUCGGCCAUUUUACAUCGACUAGAUGGAAUUUGCCGCCAUUUUGACAGUUCUUGUGGAUUUUUAGAACUAUAUCCGUUCUAGAAUUGAUCUGUUCUAGAAUUGAUCUGUUCUAGAAUGUAUAUUUCUAUGACCUGAGUAACCACUGCACUGAGAAGCAGACAGACAGUCCUCCUGAACUCUGGACUCUGACCUGUGGAAUAGUCAAUAGGUCAAUACAGGGUCAUUAUCUGUGGAACCCUGAGAGGUGAAAGGUCAAAGAGGCCUGACCCGUGACCCUGGGGAUCGUAGUGGAUUAUGGGAACUGCAGUCUCAGGACGAGGAAGACUCUUAAUGACAUCACUGAUAUGAUGACAUUGUGGAUGACAUUAUCACAGCAGGAGACCAAUCAUAGGACUGAGAACUCGUCUAACAUCCUGCUUGUCUCCAACUUCUUCUUCUUCAGCCCUUCCUUCUGAUUCUGUUACAUCAGAGAUAGACAGAGACACUAAAUAGAGGAGUAAGAGUUGAGAGACAGAGAGAGACAGAGAGAGACAGAGAGAGACAGAGAGACAGAGAGAGACAGAGAGAGAGAGAGAGAGAGACAAAAUAGAGGAGGAAGAGUUGAGAGAAAGAGAGACAGAGAGAGAGAUCAGUCCAGUCAUAUGUUAUGUGAUCAUCAUCGUGUUGCACAAGUGUUCCUCUUGGUGAACUUAAAGUGAGUUUGUCUCUCUCUCUCUCUCUACUCCCCCUCUCCCUCCUCCUAUCACAUGUUGACGAUAUCAGUACAUCAAAUUCAGGACAGAAACUCUUAAUGUGAGUUUGUCUCUCUCUCUCUACUCCCCUCCCCCUCUCCCUCCUCCUAUCACAUGUUGACGAUAUCAGUACAUCAAAUUCAGGACAGAAACUCUUAAUGUGAGUUUGUCUCUCUCUCUCUCUAUUCUGUCUCUGUAACCACUGCCCCCUCUUCCUCUCCUUUCCUACGCUGCCCCCCUCGCCCACACAAAGGAGUGAUUGUACCCCCCUCUCCUUCUCUGUUGUGGCUGGAAAGAUGAAUUAGUGACUCUGAGGGUAAAGAAACCCCCUACCCUUACACCAGAACAUCUAGUCUAACUAGUCUAACUAGUUACCAACACUACCUUAUAACCACUGUCCCUCUCUCUCCUCCCUCUCCAGACACUGUCCCUCUCUCUGCCUCCUCUCCAGACACUGUCCCUCUCUGCCUCCUCUCCUCCCUCUCCAGACACUGUCCCUCUCUCUGCCUCCUCUCCUCCCUCUCCAGACACUGUCCCUCUCUCUGCCUCCUCUCCUCCCUCUCCAGACACUGUCCCUCUCUCUGCCUCCUCUCCUCCCUCUCCAGACACUGUCCCUCUCUCUGCCUCCUCUCCAGACACUGUCCCUCUCUGCCUCCACU